GUCGUAACAAGGUAGCCGUAGGGGAACCUGCGGCUGGAUCACCUCCUUAACGAAAGAUUGGUGACCGGUAAGAAUCCACAACAAGUUAUUCUUCGAAGAUGUAUCUGAGGGUCUGUAGCUCAGUUGGUUAGAGCACACGCUUGAUAAGCGUGGGGUCACAAGUUCAAGUCUUGUCAGACCCACCACUACUGACGAAGUGAUGAAUAAUCACAAGCUGCUAGAUAAAAAGAUAUGUCGUUCAUUAUGAUUAAAGCUGGGGACUUAGCUUAGUUGGUAGAGCGCCUGCUUUGCACGCAGGAGGUCAGGAGUUCGACUCUCCUAGUCUCCACCAUGAAUUAAAAGAGUUUGUAAAAACGAAAUUAAUUCAAAGCUAAAUAGAUUAUAGAGUUUAAUGAAUAAAAAGAUUAAGUAAUUGAUCUUGGUUUAUUAAUCUCUGUGAUUUAUCACAGUUUACUGCAAGCUGACGAGGCUGUAGUUAAUCAUUAACAGAUUAGAAAAUUGAGUCUGAAAUAAAUUGUUCACUCAAGAAUUUAAGUUGAUCGAAGUAAUUCGAUUGAUUUAAACAUAUUGAGAACUAGCAAAAAACACUGAAUCAAGCGUUUUGGUAUAUGAAUUUAGAUUGAAGCUGUACGGUGAUUAAGUUCACGAAGCAACAAACUGGAUGAGAGCGAUGUAAGUUGAAAAACGAACAUAGCAAUCUGUCCUANCCUUACUUGUAAGGGUUAGCGACUGUUUGGGGUUGUAUAGUCAAGUAAUUAAGUGCAUGUGGUGGAUGCCUUGGC
This 782-nucleotide unclassified non-coding RNA is filed under the name uncultured bacterium. RNAcentral's name for it is "partial contains 16S ribosomal RNA, 16S-23S ribosomal RNA intergenic spacer, and 23S ribosomal RNA". The stretch from base 109 to 182 matches the Rfam family "tRNA". The record is from RNAcentral.